RNAcentral lists this ribosomal RNA (201 nucleotides) under uncultured bacterium. RNAcentral describes it as "partial 16S ribosomal RNA". It matches the Rfam family "Bacterial small subunit ribosomal RNA", at positions 1300 to 1500 of the family's 1533-position model. The record is from RNAcentral.
GCAGGCUGCAACUCGCCUGCAUGAAGUCGGAAUUGCUAGUAAUCGUAGGUCAGCAUACUACGGUGAAUACGUUCCCGGGCCUUGUACACACCGCCCGUCAAACCAUGAGAGUUGGCAACACCCGAAGUCGGUAGUCUAACCGCAAGGAGGACGCCGCCGAAGGUGGGGUUGAUGAUUAGGGUUAAGUCGUAACAAGGUACC